GGUGUCAAAACUGCAGCGCUAACCCUGAGAAACAGGACUCGGAGCGCUGUGGCAAGAAAGCACUAGCGAAGCUAAUCUAUAAUCGUCCUAAGUGAACGGCACACACUUCCCUCCUCCAAGAACGAAGGCACGUCUCCCAGUCCAGACCCCCAAACGGACCCCGGUCCUCCGAGCGAAGGUCUGGGUGAGGGGCAGAAUGGAGAGCAAGGGUGAGUCCCUGGCGCCGCAGGCAGCCAGCCACACAGCCCGUCCAAAAGCCACCCACCGUGGGGGCACGCUGGACAGGUCCACCAGCCCCGAGCAGUGCCCACAAGCCCCGACAAGCCCCGGCAGAGCAGCUCGGUCCUCGCUCCCUCCCGCCUGCUCUCCCCGCGUCCGGGGCAGCACCGGGCGGUCGGCUCGGGGGGUCUCUAGACCCCCUUCCUCCGCGGGCGAAAACCCGCUCCGCCACCCAGCAGGACCUUCCCGGAAUCCCACUCCCCUCACCUGGCGCCAGCCCUGCCCCAGAAGGGAUGAAGGAGACGGCGGCCGCAGCAGGUGCUUCCCACAGGGUCCGGGAGCGGCGGUGGCUGCUUCGCACCGCGGCCCUAAUCUACCGCCAACGCCAUGUUGGACGGUGAGGUCACCCCUGCGCGCUUCCGUCACGGCCCGCGUGGGGGAGCGGGGCUGGGGCGCGGCGCCGAGCCGGCAGUCCGAGGCUCGGUCCGCUGGAGCGGAAGCGGUGACCCUGCUGCCCGCUGGUCAGUCCGCGCAGGCGUGACCUGCGUACGGAGCUGUCCCUCGGCCUCUCUUUGCAGGAGCCGGGGGAGAAAUAGAUUCCUGGACUUCAGAAAUGCCUUCGCUAAGUCAUUUCCGGUGCCGAGUAGCGCUAAGAUGAGGUAGACACCGCCCGCCUGCUCAGCCCGGUCCCAGAGAGAAAAAAAAUGUAUUCUUCAUCAAAAUGAGUUAUCUGCCUAACCAUAAGGAUAUGAACCCACACGGUAUCUAUCAGUAUCAGGUGAAACCACCCGAUAACACAUAAGAACUAUCCUUUCGCUGGGCGUGGUGGCACAUGCUUUUAUUUCCAGUACUCAGGAGGAAGAGGUGUUUUGCCUUUAUGCCCGGUACCCAGGAAGCCAUUGGAUCUCUUGAAUUGGAGUUACAAUAGUGAGCUGCCAUAGGGCUGCUGGGAAUUAAACCCGAGGCCUUUGGAAGAGGAGCCAGUGCGCUUAAGCACUGAGCCUUGUCUGUAGCCCCAUGGUUUGGUUUAAAUAAAAACACUUGUUCAAUCUCUAGCCCGGGCACCCUCAAAUUUCCAAUGUCAAGGAAUGAUGUGCAAUUUAGGGCUGGAAUGAUUUCCCAGCCUCUGACUGAGUGUUGGGAUUGUGAUUAGUCCUCACCUCACAGAAAUCCAAGUCUUUGUGUGUGCUAGGCAAGCAUUCUGCAAACUGAGCUCCAUUUCAAGCUCUGGGUAAACUUUUGUUUAUUUGCUUGUUUGAGACAGGGUUUCUCUGUGUAGCCCAAG
Cricetulus griseus (Chinese hamster) is the source of this 1504-nucleotide non-coding RNA. Lineage: Eukaryota; Metazoa; Chordata; Mammalia; Rodentia; Cricetidae. The record is from RefSeq and is a predicted model, not a curated record.